CCUCAUCUACCAAACUUACUCAACACAAGAGAUGUAAUAAAGAAAGAAUAUAAAGCAAGAAAAAAUCCGGCAGCACCUCCUUUGAAAACUAGCAUAACAAGGAGGGGAAAACAUGACGCACAUACAAGAUAUAAAGACAUAUAAUUCACAUAGUAGAAACUGUAAUGCAAGAGUGGUAAAACUUAAUUAUGACCCAACUGAAGUAAAACGAAUGGGAUAAGAACUCAGUCCACCCCAAAAUAACCGCUCAACCAAGAAUAAAGCAAUUCACUAGACUUGUCCAACUUUGAUUAACAACAUUAAUAAAUGGUGGUUCCUUUAUUAAAGGUGUAGUGGCCGUGCUGCUACAUCCCUCUAUUCCCCAAAGCAGAAAUUAGGUGCCUGCAUCAAACAAUGCAAGAUGUGAGAUAACACAUCUCAGCAAGUAAACAUAACAACAGCAAAUAGGACACUGUAAAUCAACUGUGCUUACACAACCACGUGUUCAGGACUUCUUUCUUUUCUUCUGAACAGUAAAUUGCAGCAAGUAUACGAGUAACUAAAAAAACUCAACACCAAGUAGAAUCACCAUGCACAAGUCCAAAUUAUCCACAUCCACAUAAUAGAUUCAACACCUCUCCCAUGAAUGCACAUGGCUACAAAUGCAAUAAUGACUUCUGCCUCCAUAUCUCUAAGGAUAUGAAGCUGCACCAUACCCCUUCUCGGGCAACAUAUGAUGCUCAAUGUACCGGUACGGUCAGACCAUAAGAUCGCGACGAAACUUCAAUGCACUGGAUGAUGAGUGCAUUAUGCAUGACAACAUCAUAAGUUCUCCCCAAAUAAAAAGGUGCUAGGCAUUUACUUCCACCCAUUCCACAUAAUUACCACUUGAGUAACAUAAUCAAACCUCAAACUCAACUUAUGAAAUCCAUGAAACAUGAACAUGUUCAAAUGAUGGUACUCAAAAGAAAAUAUGAAUUUGAGCAUGAUAGCACAACAUGAACAAGUAUAAGACUCCUCAUCUGACAGACGGAAUAACCAUCACAGUUUUACUUGCCUUUACCGAAGUUCGGGCAAAAUCCCUAAGAACGAUCCGGAAGUCCACCACCUGUUUUUGACACCCAACUUAGUGCACCAAAUUCACAUAAAAAAAACUCAAAGACAACACCGCACCUACGCGCAAUCCCAAACCCCGCCGCGGUAACAAUUCUCCCCUCACUAACCAAACUGCAGCGGCGCUGCUUAACAAUUCCAUAACUUAAAAUUUAGGACAACAGUGAUGAUAAACAAAAACUUCAGAGACAACUACAUAAAAUGCCCCACAAGUUUUGUAUACAACUCAUGAUUAAAUUCUAACAUCUACUUACCUCUAAACGGUCCACAAAAUAAACCCUGCAAUCUGUUUUUUCUGAUUUGGGCAGCGACAUACGCGGAUUCAAACAGCGAUAACUUUUAAAAUAUAAUUCCGAUUUGAGCGCAUAAGUACUUGUUGGAAAGAUAAGAAAAAGCCCUACAUGAUUCUCAUACUGAUUAACACUAAUUACUCCCGAAAAAUCCCCAGAAACUGCUAACACUGCUGCUGUUCAUCACUCUGAAAAAUCUGUUUUUUGGACAGCCACAUACCCGGAUUCAAACGAUGAUAACUUUUAAUUUAUAACUCCAAAUUGAGCGCAUAAAUACUCGUUGGAAAGAUAAAACAAAGUUCUACAAGAUCCCCAAAUUGAUCCCCAUUAAAUCUUCACGAAAAAAAAACUAAAAACUGCUGGAACUACCGCUGUUCAUCCACCACGCAAAAUUCUGGACAGCCCCCCUCUAUCUAAUCGCAAACGCAACAUCUAAUCAAUUGAAUCGCAGCGCAAAUGAACAAGGGAUGAACACAAAAGAAAAAUCACCUUGGGUUCUCCACCUUUCCUUCCUCCCUUCUUCCCUCCACCAAAACGAUUGGAGAUUCGCACCAAGAGACGAUGAUCCGAGCGGCACGGAGUAGCACCUUGGGAGGAGGGGAUUGGGGGGGGGCUAGGGUUUUGGUGGCUGCAACAAUGGAGAGAGGAGGAGAUGGGCAGGGGGGCGGCGGCCAAGGGGAAAGGAGG
This 2069-nucleotide long non-coding RNA is filed under the name Zea mays. RNAcentral's name for it is "long non-coding RNA (ZMAY_LNC000332)". The record is from RNAcentral. Lineage: Eukaryota; Viridiplantae; Streptophyta; Magnoliopsida; Poales; Poaceae.